This 539-nucleotide ribosomal RNA is filed under the name uncultured bacterium. RNAcentral's name for it is "bacterial SSU rRNA". It matches the Rfam family "Bacterial small subunit ribosomal RNA", at positions 35 to 606 of the family's 1533-position model. The record is from RNAcentral.
GCUGGCGGCGUGCCUAACACAUGCAAGUCGAACGAGAAAGUGGAGCAAUCCAUGAGUAAAGUGGCGACCGGGUGAGUAACACGUGACUAACCUACCUCCGAGUGGGGAAUAACUCCGGGAAACCGGGGCUAAUACCGCAUAACAUCGCAAGAUCAAAGCAGCAAUGCGCUUGGAGAGGGGGUCGCGGCUGAUUAGCUAGUUGGCGGGGUAACGGCCCACCAAGGCGAAGAUCGGUAUCCGGCCUGAGAGGGCGCACGGACACACUGGAACUGAAACACGGUCCAGACUCCUACGGGAGGCAGCAGUGGGGAAUUUUGCGCAAUGGGGGAAACCCUGACGCAGCAACGCCGCGUGGAGGAUGAAGCCCUUUGGGGCGUAAACUCCUUUCGACUCGGACGAUAAUGACGGUACGAGUGGAAGAAGCACCGGCUAACUCUGUGCCAGCAGCCGCGGUAAUACAGAGGGUGCAAGCGUUGUUCGGAAUUAUUGGGCGUAAAGGGCGCGUANGCGGUGCGGUAAGUCACCUGUGAAAUCUCCUG